AGUGAACGCUGGCGGUAGGCCUAACACAUGCAAGUCGAACGGCAGCACAGUAAGAGCUUGCUCUUACGGGUGGCGAGUGGCGGACGGGUGAGGAAUACAUCGGAAUCUACUUUUUCGUGGGGGAUAACGUAGGGAAACUUACGCUAAUACCGCAUACGACCUACGGGUGAAAGCAGGGGAUCUUCGGACCUUGCGCGAUUGAAUGAGCCGAUGUCGGAUUAGCUAGUUGGCGGGGUAAAGGCCCACCAAGGCGACGAUCCGUAGCUGGUCUGAGAGGAUGAUCGGCCACACUGGAACUGAGACACGGUCCAGACUCCUACGGGAGGCAGCAGUGGGGAACAUUGGACAAUGGGCGCAAGCCUGAUCCAGCCAUACCGCGUGGGUGAAGAAGGCCUUCGGGUUGUAAAGCCCUUUUGUUGGGAAAGAAAAGCAGCAGGUUAAUACCCCGCUGUUCUGACGGUACCCAAAGAAUAAGCACCGGCUAACUUCGUG
RNAcentral lists this ribosomal RNA (492 nucleotides) under uncultured bacterium. RNAcentral describes it as "partial 16S ribosomal RNA". It matches the Rfam family "Bacterial small subunit ribosomal RNA", at positions 29 to 507 of the family's 1533-position model. The record is from RNAcentral.